RNAcentral lists this small RNA (308 nucleotides) under Jaculus jaculus (lesser Egyptian jerboa). RNAcentral describes it as "7SK RNA (ENSJJAG00000003193.1)". It matches the Rfam family "7SK RNA", at positions 1 to 257 of the family's 331-position model. From Rfam's summary of the family: 7SK was discovered as an abundant small nuclear RNA in the mid-70s but a possible function has only recently been suggested. Two independent studies have found that 7SK RNA binds the CDK9/cyclin T complex (known as elongation factor P-TEFb). P-TEFb activates transcription by phosphorylating the C-terminal domain of RNA polymerase II. Lineage: Eukaryota; Metazoa; Chordata; Mammalia; Rodentia; Dipodidae. The record is from Rfam by way of RNAcentral.
GGAUGAGAGGGCAGCCUGGCUGUGACAUCUGUCACCCCACUGAUCACCAGAGUUGAUUUGGCUGACCUGGCUGGCUUGGCGGGUGUCCCUUUCCUCCCUCACAGCUCCAUGUGUUUCCCUCCUGAAGCUGUGUGCUUGGUCAGAGAGGACGACCGUCCCUGAAUAGAGGAGGACCGGUCUUGGGUCAAGGGUAUCCAGGUAGCUGCGCGCCCCUACUAGAACCUCCAGGCAAGCUGUCAACAAGCAGAGCUCACCUUGUGUUCUCCUUUGCACUUUUUAUUCAGUCCAGGUCCCUGGAUGAUGGAACA